This 479-nucleotide ribosomal RNA is filed under the name uncultured bacterium. Its description in RNAcentral is "bacterial SSU rRNA". It matches the Rfam family "Bacterial small subunit ribosomal RNA", at positions 30 to 507 of the family's 1533-position model. The record is from RNAcentral.
AUUGAACGCUGGCGGAAUGCUUUACACAUGCAAGUCGAACGGUAGAGGGGGCAACCCCUUGAGAGUGGCGAACGGGUGAGUAAUGUAUCGGAACGUGCCCAGUCGUGGGGGAUAACGUAGUGAAAAUUACGCUAAUACCGCAUACGAUCUAUGGAUGAAAGCGGGGGAUCGCAAGACCUCGCGCGAUUGGAGCGGCCGAUAUCAGAUUAGGUAGUUGGUAGGGUAAAGGCCUACCAAGCCAACGAUCUGUAGCUGGUCUGAGAGGACGACCAGCCACACUGGAACUGAGACACGGUCCAGACUCCUACGGGAGGCAGCAGUGGGGAAUUUGGACAAUGGGCGAAAGCCUGAUCCAGCCAUUCCGCGUGCAGGAUGAAGGCCCUCGGGUUGUAAACUGCUUUUGUACGGAACGAAAAGGUUUCCAUUAAUACUGGGGACUCAUGACGGUACCGUAAGAAUAAGCACCGGCUAACUACGUG